This 465-nucleotide ribosomal RNA is filed under the name uncultured bacterium. Its description in RNAcentral is "partial 16S ribosomal RNA". It matches the Rfam family "Bacterial small subunit ribosomal RNA", at positions 28 to 507 of the family's 1533-position model. The record is from RNAcentral.
GACGAACGCUGGCGGCGUGCUUAACACAUGCAAGUCGAACGGAAAGGCCCCUUUGGGGGUACUCGAGUGGCGAACGGGUGAGUAACACGUGAGUAACCUGCCCUUGACUUCGGGAUAACUUCAGGAAACUGGGGCUAAUACCGGAUAGGAAUCCUUGCUGCAUGGUGGGGGUUGGUAAGCUUCGGCGGUUUUGGAUGGACUCGCGGCUUAUCAGCUUGUUGGUGGGGUAGUGGCUUACCAAGGCUUUGACGGGUAGCCGGCCUGAGAGGGCGACCGGCCACAUUGGGACUGAGAUACGGCCCAGACUCCUACGGGAGGCAGCAGUGGGGAAUAUUGCACAAUGGGCGGAAGCCUGAUGCAGCAACGCCGCGUGCGGGAUGACGGCCUUCGGGUUGUAAACCGCUUUCAGCAGGGGCGAAGCUUGUGGUGACGGUACCUGCAGAAGAAGCACCGGCUAACUACGUG